GGGAGCGUGGCGGAACGGCAUACGCAGGAGACUUAAAAUCUUCCGGCUUCGGUCUUGUGGGUUCGAAUCCCACCGCUCCUACCA
RNAcentral lists this transfer RNA (84 nucleotides) under Slackia sp. Its description in RNAcentral is "tRNA-Leu". It matches the Rfam family "tRNA". Rfam says of the family: Transfer RNA (tRNA) molecules are approximately 80 nucleotides in length. Lineage: Bacteria; Bacillati; Actinomycetota; Coriobacteriia; Eggerthellales; Eggerthellaceae. The record is from RNAcentral.